Molecule: unclassified non-coding RNA, 324 nt
Filed under: uncultured fungus
Lineage: Eukaryota; Fungi
Description: partial contains small subunit ribosomal RNA, internal transcribed spacer 1, and 5.8S ribosomal RNA
Rfam family: Eukaryotic small subunit ribosomal RNA (bases 1-73)
Source: RNAcentral
ACAAACUUGGUCAUUUAGAGGAAGUAAAAGUCGUAACAAGGUUUCCGUAGGUGAACCUGCGGAAGGAUCAUUAACGAGCCGUGAGGGUCAUCUGGAAACAGAUUUGACCUUUCACUUGGCCACCCUUGUUUACCUUAACCUGUUGCUUUGGUGAGCACGGGCCCGGAAAGCAUAGAUUUCCCGGCGGCCAAUUGCGGCGGGCCCACCAAAGUCUUAAUGAAUUCUUGAUUAUACUUUUUGCUGUCUGAGCAUUAAAAUAAACAAAUAUACUUUAAAACUUUCAACAACGGAUCUCUUGGUUCUGGCAUCGAUGAAGAACGCAGC